Small nucleolar RNA from Otolemur garnettii (small-eared galago), 136 nucleotides. Its record names the gene SNORA63. It matches the Rfam family "Small nucleolar RNA SNORA63". From Rfam's summary of the family: E3 belongs to the H/ACA class of snoRNAs and is involved in the processing of eukaryotic pre-rRNA and has regions of complementarity to 18S rRNA. The record is from Ensembl. Lineage: Eukaryota; Metazoa; Chordata; Mammalia; Primates; Galagidae.
UGGCAGGUUGGGUUAAUUGUUAUGAUAUAGCUGUAAAGUGCUAUAUUGUCCUUUCCACCUGCUGAAAGUAAUUGUUUCCCACAAUCUCUGUCUAGCUCAAUUCUGUAGCAAGACAGGGACGCUUGGUCUCAAACAU